GGCUACUACAUCCAAGGAAGGCAGCAGGCGCGCAAAUUACCCAAUCCCGACACGGGGAGGUAGUGACAAUAAAUACUGAUACAGGGCUCUUUUGGGUCUUGUAAUUGGAAUGAGUACAAUUUAAAUCCCUUAACGAGGAACAAUUGGAGGGCAAGUCUGGUGCCAGCAGCCGCGGUAAUUCCAGCUCCAAUAGCGUAUAUUAAAGUUGUUGUGGUUAAAAAGCUCGUAGUUGAACCUUGGGCCUGGCUGGCCGGUCCGCCUCACCGCGUGCACUGGUCCGGCCGGGCCUUUCCCUCUGUGGAACCCCAUGCCCUUCACUGGGUCUGGCGGGGAAACAGGACUUUUACUUUGAAAAAAUUAGAGUGCUCCAGGCAGGCCUAUGCUCGAAUACAUUAGCAUGGAAUAAUAGAAUAGGACGUGUGGUUCUAUUUUGUUGGUUUCUAGGACCGCCGUAAUGAUUAAUAGGGACAGUCGGGGGCAUCAGU
This 485-nucleotide ribosomal RNA is filed under the name Cosmospora khandalensis. RNAcentral describes it as "SSU rRNA". It matches the Rfam family "Eukaryotic small subunit ribosomal RNA", at positions 405 to 895 of the family's 1831-position model. Lineage: Eukaryota; Fungi; Ascomycota; Sordariomycetes; Hypocreales; Nectriaceae. The record is from RNAcentral.